RNAcentral lists this ribosomal RNA (421 nucleotides) under uncultured bacterium. Its description in RNAcentral is "bacterial SSU rRNA". It matches the Rfam family "Bacterial small subunit ribosomal RNA", at positions 355 to 774 of the family's 1533-position model. The record is from RNAcentral.
UAAGGAAUAUUGGUCAAUGGACGCAAGUCUGAACCAGCCAUGCCGCGUGAAGGAUGAAGGUCCUCUGGAUUGUAAACUUCUUUUAUCUGGGACGAAAACGGGAUUUUUAUCUCAAUUGACGGUACCAGAGGAAUAAGCACCGGCUAACUCCGUGCCAGCAGCCGCGGUAAUACGGAGGGUGCGAGCGUUAUCCGGAUUUACUGGGUUUAAAGGGUGCGUAGGUGGGCUUAUAAGUCAGUGGUGAAAUCUCCGAGCUUAACUCGGAAACUGCCGUUGAUACUAUAGGUCUUGAAUUAUCUGGAGGUAAGCGGAAUAUGUCAUGUAGCGGUGAAAUGCUUAGAUAUGACAUAGAACACCAAUUGCGAAGGCAGCUUACUACAUAUAAAUUGACGCUGAGGCACGAAAGCGUGGGGAUCAAACA